GUAGGGGGCAAGCGUUGUCCGGAUUUAUUGGGCGUAAAGAGCGUGUAGGCGGUUAGGUAGGUCCGUUGUGAAAACUCGAGGCUCAACCUCGAGACGCCGAUGGAAACCAUCUGACUAGAGUCCGGAAGAGGAGAGUGGAAUUCCUGGUGUAGCGGUGAAAUGCGCAGAUAUCAGGAAGAACACCCGUGGCUAAGGCGGCUCUCUAGUACGUGACUGACGCUGAGACGCGAAAGCGUGGGGAGCGAACAGGAUUAGAUACCCUGGUAGUCCACGCCGUAAACGAUGGGUGCUAGGUGUAGGGGGUGUCAACUCCCUCUGUGCCGAAGCUAACGCAUUAAGCACCCCGCCUGGGGAGUACGGCCGCAAGGCUA
This 371-nucleotide ribosomal RNA is filed under the name uncultured bacterium. RNAcentral's name for it is "bacterial SSU rRNA". It matches the Rfam family "Bacterial small subunit ribosomal RNA", at positions 527 to 896 of the family's 1533-position model. The record is from RNAcentral.